This 468-nucleotide ribosomal RNA is filed under the name uncultured bacterium. Its description in RNAcentral is "partial 16S ribosomal RNA". It matches the Rfam family "Bacterial small subunit ribosomal RNA", at positions 28 to 507 of the family's 1533-position model. The record is from RNAcentral.
GACGAACGCUGGCGGCGUGCUUAACACAUGCAAGUCGAACGGAAAGGCCCUGCUUUUGUGGGGUGCUCGAGUGGCGAACGGGUGAGUAACACGUGAGUAACCUGCCCUUGACUUUGGGAUAACUUCAGGAAACUGGGGCUAAUACCGGAUAGGAGCUCCUGCUGCAUGGUGGGGGUUGGAAAGUUUCGGCGGUUGGGGAUGGACUCGCGGCUUAUCAGCUUGUUGGUGGGGUAGUGGCUUACCAAGGCUUUGACGGGUAGCCGGCCUGAGAGGGUGACCGGCCACAAUGGGACUGAGAUACGGACCAGACUCCUACGGGAGGCAGCAGUGGGGAAUAUUGCAGAAUGGGCGGAAGCCUGAUGCAGCAACGCCGCGUGCGGGAUGACGGCCUUCGGGUUGUAAACCGCUUUCGCCUGUGACGAAGCGUGAGUGACGGUAAUGGGUAAAGAAGCACCGGCUAACUACGUG